AUUCUGGAGCUCUGUGUCAGCUGUCAGGUACUGGGUCAAAAACCAAAUGUUAAGACCAAAGAUACUGCCAUAUUGAUCAGGGAAUGCCAAGGGUUUGGGGAGCUCGGUGCCAGGAAUCGGGCACCAAGACCAAAAGACCUGCUUCUCAUUAGAAAUCACAGUGAUCGAUCAUAGCAUCACACAGCCCGGGUGGUGUCUGCAGCGAGGUGGGCCUGCCUGCUUUCCGGCUAGGAGAGAUGCAGGUCCUUCCUCACCAGUGGCAGUGAUGGCCAGUGUCGGCCUGGACUUAGAAGCUCCUGAGCAGCAGACAUAGCUCCGUAGCUAACGUAAGACACAGAACACGCCUUGUACAGUCUUCUGGUGGCUGAGCAAAGGAAGUGGAGUCCGUAAGAAUUGGCAACAUGGAAACAAAAGGAUUGGACUUGAGGAUGGCAAAGACCCAGGUAAGGUGGCAUCCUUAUUGUUUAAAAAAACAAGACUGGCUCCUUGGGUAGCUUAAUUAUUGACAAAUUUCCUUCCCUUUCCUUCCAUCCCUCCCUCCUUCCUGUGCACGUCCAUGGCCUUUCUGUGGGGUCUGCUCUCUCUUUUGAAGCCUAACUGGAGCUGCUUCCCUCCCUUCUCCAGCCCUGGUGCCUGCAAGUCAGCCUGUGUGUGAGGUGGGCAGGAACCUGGUGGCUGUCCCCCCUAGCAAACUCCAUCAGGGCAGCGCUGGGCCGCGGAGGGGAGCAGGCAGAUUUCUGGAACAGUGCUUGCCUGGAAUGCUCUGUGUCCUCCCAGACCCCUGUUGCUCUGCUGGCGAUGCAGAGUCUGUGCUGCAGUCUAAUCGCUGCUGAGAAUCCUGGUACUUCCAGAAAUUCCUCUCUGGCCCGUGUUGGGCUUCAUCUUGUACACAGAGGGGAGCGGAGGGAAGGAAGAUGGAGUGCUGCUCUGUGGCCUGCCUGGGAAGACCUCCGUUUUGUACGGCUUUCGCUCUCAGGGUGAUAAGCUCUUCACCGAGCGCAGUGAAUUUGCUCCUGCCAGCCUCUGGGCCAGCUUCAUCCUCCGGAAAAUCAAGGCAGCAAGUCCUCUGGAGGAGCCGCGGCCCUGUUUUCUAGGCGGGCAGACGACUCUGCAGACAAGGCGAGGACGCGCGGCUGCGACUCACCUCGGCCGCAGACGGGGCUCCGAGGAGCUGCAGGCCUCCGGGCCUUAGGCUGCCCUCACCCUCCGCUGAGGGAUGAGGAGGGUGCGGGCUGCUACUGUCAUCACUGGAAACCCCCACAGUCCGGUAAACUCAGGGACCAGGGAUCUUCAGGUGCACCGUGGCCUGGGCCCGGCAGCGCAAAGUCCCCUCUCAGGCCCGCUCUGCACACACAGGGCCUCUGCGGCCCGCCAGGCCCCUCUCUUCCCCCGCAGGGCCCGGGGUCUGGGGCAGGGGCUGUCUUCCUUCUGCCCACCCCACCCCACCCAGCCUCACCCAGCUCCUUCUGCACGCUCAGUGCGGAUAACAGUGCAGGGCACUGCUCUAUGCCCCUCUGAGUCGCUCCUGUGAAUAAACGCUUGGGGUGUGGAAUCGGAGCCCUGUGGCAGCCUGGAACCAGGGACUCAGGUAGGUGGAGGCUCAGGGGCUGGUGCCUGAGGGGUUGAAGCUGCCACAGUGUGCAGUGGGGAGGCAGCUGGUGAGCAGGCCGGAGUCCCAGGUAACAGCUGGGCUCCACAUGCAGCAGAAGGGGCUCCUUGGGGAAGCAGGGCCCAGCAGAGAACCUGCCUGGGCUACAGGUGGUUGCUUUUGGGUCCUAGGGAGCCGAUGCUUGGCUGACUGAUCGCAUUUCUCUCUCCUUCCUCCCUCUGUCUCUCUCUCUCUCUCUCUCUCUCUCUCUCGAUCUGAAGUAAGCAUGGCAACAUGCUAAUGCUGAUUUGUGCUUACCUAGGCCUUUAUCCAUUAUUUCUGCACUUUUCUGCAUAUUUAAAUUAUCUUAUAAUUGAGAAAAAAAUAUUGCAAAGAAGGAUCUGGAUGACCUGUAUUUUACCCAGCAGGUGCUGUCUGGGAAGUCUGUCUUACCCACAUCUUACUAUGACCUUGUUGGUUCUCCUUUCUCAAUUGUGAAAUUUCAGGCAGGGCCAGGAAUUUGGAUUCGUGGAGGUGGAGGAGCUGAGCCCCUCCCUCUUCCCCCUGCACCUGGUGGGCUGCAGAGCUUGGCGGGGGCAGCAGGGGAUCCUGGGCAGGUCUCCCUGCAUCCCUCCAGCUAGUUCUGAGACUGGCAGCAGAAGAGGGAGGCACUGGGCCUCCUCGAGUCUCCGCUGUAAACAGCAGCAUGAAUCAUCUGGAAAUCAACAGUCGUCUGUCCCGGUUCUGCAAAGACUGAGGAACUGCAGCAGCGUUGAGGGUGACUGGCCUGAAACUGCAGGGAAAGAUAAAUAACUUGGAGGAAAAACUCCAGCUGAGAGGCCCCAGCUGGGCAUUCAAGGCCCGGCUCAGGGGGCUGGGGGUGGUUCCUUCCAUUCUGAGGAGGGCGGGGGUGACACAGGAAUCUCUGGGUAGGCCUGAGCCCUCCGUGGCUUCCUGGGGCAGUGUGACCUCCCUCUAGCCAGGACUGCAAGGUUGCACCCUAGCACCUCACUUGGUGACUCCCUGCAGUCCCCCCAGGGAAAGAGGCCCAUAAUGUGGACAUUCAGAGGUGGCUGAGGCACAGGAACCGGAAAGACUGGUUUCCAGGGCUGGCAGCUGCCAGGAGAUGCCAGGAGGCCAGGGGUAGGAAGGAGCAGCAUUGGGGUGAGCAGCAGGCAGGCACUGGAAGCACUUCUGGAAUCUCCAACUCUAUUUCUGGCUGUCUUCCCUGGAUGUUUUGCAUCUAGGGUAUGAGCUUGUAACUUGGCAACCCCUUUGCUGACUUGUUUGGGAAUAAACUGUGCUGGGAGUGAGAUCUAAAUGCUGGGAGUUCACUCACACAGUUCUCAUGGGUCCGGUUUUAUUCUGAACACUUUCGAUUACCCAGGAAAAGGUGAGGACCCAAAACAUUUUCAAGCUAGUGAGUGUGGCUGGGAUUGUUUUUUAAGUGUCAUCUUUUACAGAGAAAGUGUACUUUUGUUUUUGAGUUAUGUAUCUUUUAAGUCAAGACUUGAUGCAUAGAGACAUCAUUAUAGAGUCACGUGACACAGUCCCUGGAAACCAGCGUCAUUCUUCUGAGAGUCAUGGUGGUUAACAGCUCCGUGUUGCGUCAGGGUGUGUGAGGACUGAUUCUAUGCACUGCUCAAAAAUAAAAUUUACUUUUCAAUUUUAAAAAUAUUUAUUUGAUUAUUUAGAUGGUCCUGGAGAUUGAACUCAGGGUCUUCACACUGAGCCAAUUGUAAGCCCUGUCAAUUAAUUUAAUUUUUGAGACAGGGUCUUACAAAGUCACUAAGUUGUCCAAGCUGCGUUCAGACUGGCCAUCCUUCUGUCUCAGCCUCCCAGAGUGCUGGGAUCAUAGCUGUGCACCACUACUACAACGGUCCUCUGAUUUUUGAAGUGAGAUAAGGACUAGUUGGUCUGCUCUACUUAUCGGUGGUUUAUGAAGAUGGGGAAAUGUUUAUUUCAUGAGCACAUUUGUCCACCUUAAUUUGCAAGGGAUUCAAGAAAAAAUAGCUGCCACGAAACACCGUUUGGUUCUUGUGAACCAUGGUAAUGUUUGGGACAAUUUCUUCUACAUCCAAACACCUUCAAAGUCAUUGUCCUGUGGUCUGAUCUGUGAAUGUGUCUCCAUCUAUUGUUUUUCAGAGCCAUCCGUGGGGGAGCCAAUGCAGACGCUGGCUCUCCGGGGACACCACACUGUGCAUUUCCUUCCUUUGGGAAGGACCUGGUGCCUGGUGGGGCAUUGUUCUCUCCUUCCUUGACCAGAGGAAAGUUUUCCACUCUUUGGUCUUGCUAAAUUGCCCAAGUGGGACUUGAACGUGUGUUUCUCCUGUCUUGGCCACCCAAAGUGCUGCAUCUUUAAAUGACCUUCAAAGUGUUUGUUUGCUUGAGAAGGCCCUCCAGAGAAAUAUGCAAGGAACCUGCUAAAACUCAGCCAGUCACUCUGGCACACUCUUUUAUGUGAACUAAAGUCAACUUCACUCAUUAUCAAACCAAAUUCUCCACCCAGAAGGAUUCCUGCCCUGCACGUUUUUCAAUGUUUUGAACCAUUUUUCUCCAUCAGUUUUUGGAGCACAUGAUGUAGGACCUUGAACUGAGCCUGCUUAGGCAUGUGAAUGUGCCCGCUCUGCAUGUGACGACAGUCUUUCCUGGACGAGUCUGUGGGGAUCCCCCAUGGAAGCCCUGCUCUUCUCUGUCCAGGGAGACACUUCAGUGACAGUCACCCCCAUGCUGCAAGUGAGACUCCUUUCUUCACUCCUAUAUCUUGGUUCUGUUGCUUGGCUUUGCCCUCAUCUGUGGGGAAACUCACUGCGUUUGGUUACAGCUGCUCGAAUGUCCUCACAUAUGGCAACUGGCUAUCCCCAGGAUGAACCAUCCCUGAGAGAGGUGGCAAUGUAUUUCGUGACCUGACCUCAGAAAUCCUGUACAGUCACCUCAGCCAUGUUGUCUCGCUGCAGAAGAGCCCUUAAGUCUGGCUCCCAUUCAAGGCUCAAGCCGGAAGGAGGAUGAGAAGACAGCUAGGACCAGACAGACUUCAGGAGCCCACAGAGGCCGGAACUUAUCCUGGUGCCGCUGGGAGCCAUCAGACUGCCGAUUUCCAAAGCUUAUUUUGAGUUGGGCAUGUUGAGGCAUUCAUCUACAAGCCCAGCACUCUGGGAAGCGGAGGCAGGGGGAUCAAAAGUUCAAGCCCAGCCUGUUUCAAAAUAAAAAAUAGCAAAGGGGUGGUACUUAAUGAGACCCUGUUUCAAAGUAAAAAAUACAAAGAGCCGGAAUGAGGCUCAGUGAGAAGGCCCUGCGUUCAGUCCCCAGUACCACAGGCAUACACACGCACACACACACACACACACACACACACACCCCGAGUUAUUUUGCUGGCCAUGGAAAGAACAGAUUAUGCAGCUAUGGGUGAGAAUGUUAGAGAGGAGACAACUUCAGAGGCCAUGACAGACUUCCAAGCUCAAGAUGGUGGCUUAGACGAGAUGGAUGCCAGGAAGCAGAGAAGGGUGCACAAGCUCAGAGGUCGGGGCCAAAGGCAGUGGAAGAACACUGGGACUCCCGUGUGAGCAGCGAGGGCAGCUGAGACAAGGAUCCAGUUUCCUGAAAAGAGAAAGAGUUUGUUUUGGACGAUUUAAGUUAGAAACCCUAUUGACAUCCCGGUGGAUGUUUCAGAUAAUUGGAUAUAUGGGUUUAGAGAUAGGUCAGGACUGGGGUCAGGGCUGGGGUGUACAUUUGUGAAUCAAGUCACAGAAGAUGUUUAACAAGGAAUUAUGGCAUGGAUAAAUCAAUAGGAACAGAGUUGCUUGCCCUGGCUGCUCCUGCUGUUGACAUUGCUGCUACAGCCACCUUCUGCCUCUGUGUGGCCACCCGACUAGAGCCAGAGGAUCUGAGGUUGUGGCUGCAUGUGCUCACGUGGCUGUUGCUUCUUGCUUUGCCAAGGAUGCCAGCUGUCAUUGGUGGGUCUGCGUAGCUGAGCCCAGAGGUGCCACUUCUGCUGUUAAACAUGGCACCAUGGCAACAGAGCUCCUCACCAUCUUGACCCAGCCCAGCAGGACUCCUCUCCAGUUCUCCAUUUCUUUCUUCAUGCAUCAUCUGGCUCAGAUUUUCCACUCUCCUAACAUUCUCUCAGCUUGUUGACAUUUUUACAGUGCCUUACGGAAGAACAUACGUAUUUGCUUCCUGUUUUUAUCCUGAGAGAAGUGUCUGCGGAAUCAAACUUGGGACCUUGUGCUUGCAAGGCAGGUGUGAGUACCACUGAGCUAAAUCCCUGGCCCUGGAUAAAGCUUCUAUAAAUAUGUGUGUACAAGGUUUUGUGUGGCCAUAAAUUUUUAACCCAUUUGAGUAAAUACCAAGGGGAAUGACUGCUGGGUCAUAUGGUAAAAAACUGUUUACUUUGUAAGAAUCUGCCACACUGUCUAUAAAACGGUCCAUAUUAUUAUUAUUUUUUUUGUUGUUACCGGGGAUCGAACUUGGGCCCUUGCGCUUGCACAGCAGGUGGUGAAACCACUGAGCUAAAUCCCCGGCCAGGAUCCAUAUUAUUUUGACUUCCCACCAACAAUGAGUGGGAGUUCCCGUGGCCCCACGUCUUCCCCGCAUUUGAUGUUGUCAGGGUUUUGCAUUUGAGUCCUUCUAGCAGAUGGACAGUGGUAUCUUCUUUUAAUUUGCAAUUCCCUAAUGACAAAUGAUGCCCAGCAUCUUCUCAUAUGCACGUAUGUCAUUGUAUAUCUUCUUGGGUGAGGUGUUUGUUCUGGUUUUUGCCCAUUUUUAAUUGGCUUUUUUGUUUUCUUAUUCUUGAAUUUAAAGAUUUCUUUGUAUCUUUUGGGUAACUGUCCUUUAUCAGAUGUGUCUUUUGCAUAUUUUCUCCCAAUCUAUAGCUUGUUUUCUCAUUCUUGUUGCAGGAUCUUUUGCAGAGAAAGUCUUAAUUUUAAUGAUGUCACCUUAUCAAUUACUUCUUUCAUUGAUAGUGGCUUUGGUGUCAUGUCUAAAAGUCAUCACUAUACCCAAGAUCAUCUAGAUUAGUGAUGGCAAAACUUUUAGAGACCUAGUGCCAAACUACAACCAAAACCCACUUAUUUAUCAUAAAGUGCCAACACUGCAAUUAAACCUGAGAUUUUAGUUUAGAAAAACCAACUCUAUAUCAACAUCUUUUGCCUUAAACGAAAAACACAAUAACACGUUUGCCACCACUGAUCUAGAUGCGUUCCGAAGUUACCUUUUCAGUGUGCUAUAGUUUAUAUUUCACACUGAAGUCUAUGACCCAUUUUGAGUUAGUUUUUGUGAAGGGUGUAAGUUCAAUGUCUAGACUGGUUUCUUUGCAUGUGGAUGUCUAGUUGUUCCAGCACUGUUUGUUGAAAGACUACCCUUGCUGGGCAUGGUGGCCAAUGCCUAUAAUGCCAGCUACUUGGGAAGCUGAGCAGGAGGAUCACAAGUUCAAGGCUAGCCUGGGCAACACAGUGAUAACCUGUCUGAGAAUAAAAGUAAGCCUCUUCUCUUUGUCAAGGACUAGCUGAUUAUAAUGGUGUGGGUCUAUUUCUUGGCUCUCCACUCAGUUUCACUGAUCUACUGUUUUUAUUUUGUUCUUUAUUUUUUUCUCCAGUACUGGGACUGAACCCAUGGGCUUGCACAUGCUAGGCAAGUGCUCUACCACUGGGCUUCAUCUCCAAUUCUUUUUUUUUUUUUUUUUUAAGAGGUGGAGUCUUGCCAUGCUGCCCAGCCUCCUGCUUCAGCCUCUCAAGUAGAGGCUCAAUUUUUCUUCUGGUUUUCACUUUGUCACGAGAUUUGCUCUACCACCUACUCUGGCAAGUCUAGUCAUUUCCCUGCAUCCUUCCACCUCGUGACUGUCCUGGUUAUUCUCAGCCCUGCCACAUAGUGGCCAUCAUCUUUCCCACCUUGUUGACUCCACUCUGGUUCCCAGAUGCUAUAUCCUUCCUUUUCUUUCUUUUCCUGAAACCCAUCAACUAUUAGUUCCUAGGAAAAGGUGCAUGGAAGAUGCAUUUUCAUAGUCCUUGCAUGUCUGAAAAUUCUUUUAUCUGCCUUCAUUCUUGAUCAAUAGUUUGGUUGAGGGUAGAAUUUAAGGUUAUUUAUUUAUGUAUCUAUUUGGCAGUGCUAGGGCUUGAACCCAGGGCCCUGUGUGUGCUAGGCAAGUGGUUCACCACUGAGCUAGCUGCACCCCCGGCUCCUUAACUCAAUUCUUUUAAAACUUAGAAGGCACUGAUUAUUUUCUUCUAGCAUCCAAUGUUGUUCUUGAAGUCAAUUUCAUGUUCAUUCUUGUUCUUCUAGUUUCCAUCCUCUUUGGAAGUUCUAGGUUUCCCAAUUUGUCCCUUGUGACCCUUUAUGAUGAUGUGCCUUUUUGUAUCAGUCAAGGUAUUUGCUAAAAUAAAAAAAGUCAACUAAAAUGGACCAUACUGUAAGUACUUUCUUUUGGUACUGGGGUUUGAACUUGGGACCUUGCGCUUGCGAGGCAGACGACGGAACCACUGAGCUAAAUCCCUG
RNAcentral lists this long non-coding RNA (8077 nucleotides) under Heterocephalus glaber (naked mole-rat). RNAcentral describes it as "lncRNA (ENSHGLG00100041740.1)". The record is from RNAcentral. Lineage: Eukaryota; Metazoa; Chordata; Mammalia; Rodentia; Bathyergidae.